Molecule: unclassified non-coding RNA, 365 nt
Filed under: uncultured Terriglobia bacterium
Lineage: Bacteria; Pseudomonadati; Acidobacteriota; Terriglobia
Description: uncultured Acidobacteriia bacterium contains 16S-23S intergenic spacer region
Source: RNAcentral
UCUGGGUUUAUCCCAGCGGUCCCGUUAGAGAAAUAUAACUAACGGCGGGGGUUGCGCUCGUCGCGGGACUUAACCCAACACCUCACGGCACGAGCUGACGACAGCCAUGCAGCACCUGUGCUAGCUGCCCUUGCGGGCUCAUAGCCGUUUCCGAUUCUUACUACUAGCAUGUCAAGCCUGGGUAAGGUUCUUCGCGUUGCGUCGAAUUGAACCACAUGUUCCACCGCUUGUGCGGGCCCCCGUCAAUUCCUUUGAGUUGCAGCCUUGCGACCGUACUCCCCAGGCGCAGGACUUAACGCGUUAGCUACGGGACGCACCCCCAACGGGAUGCACCCCAAGUCCUGAUCGUUUAGGGCUAGGACUAC